This is a long non-coding RNA of Hyaena hyaena (striped hyena), 329 nucleotides long. RefSeq lists it as uncharacterized. The transcript is spliced from 4 exons. The record is from RefSeq and is a predicted model, not a curated record. Lineage: Eukaryota; Metazoa; Chordata; Mammalia; Carnivora; Hyaenidae.
UGUGACAGCAGGGAAACCCGAGCCUUGAGGGGACAUUCUCAGGCUCAAAAAUCACAAACCCGACAGGGAAAGGCAUUUGAUCAGAAAAUGACACCAUUCAGAGCAAGGUCACGUCCGGUCCGGGUGUGCUCUGAGGGGUCCAGACCGUCGACAAGAGGGAAAGCCCUGGAUCAGCCCCUGCUCUUCCUCCUACAGACAACCUUUGCUCAGUCACUGUGGUAUUAAAGGUCAUCCAGGCAAGUUCUUUGAUCAUCCUGAACUUGCAAGUAAGAGUGUGGUAGUGACUUCUACAGAAGCAUUUGUAGGUAAGGUUUGAAGAGUCAAGAUGU